Molecule: long non-coding RNA, 2064 nt
Filed under: Amborella trichopoda
Lineage: Eukaryota; Viridiplantae; Streptophyta; Magnoliopsida; Amborellales; Amborellaceae
Description: long non-coding RNA (ATRI_LNC004840)
Source: RNAcentral
UUUCGGAAAUGGGGGCAGGCUCAAACGAUUCUUCCUCAAUUUUCUCUGUUUAAGAUUGAUGACAUUGAGAUAUUAGGUGGCAACUCUCAUGACUGCAUACAUUGUUUUGGUUACCUCUUCACUAAAUGGAUUUGAGGGUGAGCCGUGUACAUGUAUCAUCGGAAAAAGCGCUGCAUGGUCUUAUCCGUUUGUCGACCGUUUUGCCAGCUGGAUUAUGCUUUUCUAUCUAUGGUUUUUUUCUUUUUAGGGAACUCUCUCUAGAAGAUCCAUCGAGAUGCUUUUGAAAGGAAAUUCAAAAAAUCAACAAAUUGUUUAUGGGCAAUUCAGAUAAUCCAUUAGUCACAUGAGGUUAUUUUCAAAACAAGGUUACUCAUGCAAUAUCUCCAAGUGUUAUUGCGCUAAUUGCAAGGUCUAAAAAAGUUGCAAAAUUUAGAUGAAGGUUACUUGGAUUUCUGAUGAAAAAAAUAAUGCUCUCUUGCACUAUAUAUGGGUGCUAUAGAGUAAAGAAAGAUCAAAUAUCAGCUUUUUCUCCAAUGAACUUUUUGCUCCAUCUGUCAGUAAUUUUGCUUAGAAUAUGUCCGCAUAUGAAUUAUGAACUGCUUAGGAAUGUCACAAUUUCAAAUUGUUGAAGAGUUUCACCGUGCCUCCUAUUUUCGACAAAGAAAUUGACAGCCUCCUUUUGCAAAAGUGCCAUUCAAUAACACCUAUAGAAUAUUGUUGGUUGUUUACUUGAAAUAUGAGAAGAGCCUUGUCUUUAUUCUGAAAUGGACAUCAAGAAAGCCAUAAUUUCUAAUCAUUGAAUAUUUCAAACAAGGGUCUGCAUUGCAAACUUCCCCAUAGUGAAUCUAGUUUCUCAAGGAUGACCUUUUAAUAUCUUAAAUGGCUACCUGGAUUUAAGAAACUAAUAGCACUAUUUCGUUGGAACAAAAACGACACACACACAGAUAUAUUUCAAUGUCUAAAAUGGAUGCGAAUGUUUGAAACAUUAUUUUUAUCAUCAUCAGAGCUUUUUUCCAACCCUUUGGGAACAACUACAAGAAUUCUGAUAUGUUAUUAUGCUAUAUGAACACUAUUCUUUUUAGACAUGAUAUAUUUGCACACCAUUUAAAAAGAGGGACGCAAGAAUUUAGGUAGUAUUAAACACUUUUAUAAUAAAAUAUCAAGAAAAAAUAAUAAACAGAAGUAUUUAGGUUUCUAAAGUGUCAAUCAAAGUGCAACCUUGAUGUGUCAACACUCGAUAAUCAUGUGAUAACUAAAUACAUCAAUUUUUUAAAAGACGUGCAUUUUGUUGAGAUGGGUACCAUAAAAAAUUACAUGGCUCAAAAUACUUUAAGGAAGAUGUUCAAGAAAUAGUGCCUACAAGCUUUGCCUAGUAAGAAUCCAUGACCGUUGGAUGGUACGAAACCUUUAAAACAUGGGCUUAUUUUGGUAAUUGUCUUUUGGACAUGCACCUACCACUUUGAGAUUGCGUAAUGCUUCACCAGCAAUGGACCUUAGGAAACUUUUCUACGUAGAAAUUUCUCUAACACACACUUACUCUUUGUUGGGUAGAGAGAGAUUGUGCAAUGCGAAUACAUAGUUUUUAAUAUUUCUGAUAUGAAAAAUUGUUUCAUGUGGUUUUUAAUAUUUCGGAUAUGGAAAAUUGUUUUAUGUGGGCUGAACCGCAUUUCUAUAAUAUACGGUCCAGAGGCAUAAAGCAUGGGCGCAAAAUAGGUGGUCUAUCUGGGACAAGUAUAACUAAGGAGUCCAAAUAUUUUUAGUUUUAAAGUUAUUAUUGUUUUUCCAUAUUCAUAAUCUCUAUCUUAAAAAUUAUAUAUUUUCUAAAAAUUAAAAUCAAAUUAUAUUUAAAAAAUGUAUUUAUUGCCGAGCACGAAUUUCUAGAUAUGCGGGGCUGGCUGCAUAGAAACCGUGUCCUGAUGAUAUUUCCAACCGUGUUUGUGUCAAUUAUUUUUAACGCCUCUUUUGCAUGAAUUCCCUCUAACUUUUACUGUAACUGAAUCCUAUGUCCUAAAAGAUAAUCUCCGAUGAAAACGAAACUCUCUCUCUCUUAUUUGCACAAGUCAC